Molecule: non-coding RNA, 782 nt
Organism: Aegilops tauschii subsp. strangulata
Lineage: Eukaryota; Viridiplantae; Streptophyta; Magnoliopsida; Poales; Poaceae
Source: RefSeq, a predicted model, not a curated record
UUCUUUACGGAGGGAGUACUUAUUUCUGACAGACAUACAUGCUCUAUUUUUGAAGGAGAAGAUUGUACUUGCAGGAUCUAAAACCUAUUGAUUUUUGUCGAGGGACAGUCACGUGAGUGAUUGCACUAAAGAUACAGAGAAAAACUGACAUUUCUUCUUAAAUAUCGUAUUGAAGUUCUAUACUCAAUACUAUAGGGUGUACUGAAGGUCAACGUUGCACUUAGGCCGGUUGGGUUCUGAAUAUGCAAGAAAAGGAGGAAAAAUUAGCAAGGAUUACAGAUCUUGGUUCAAGAAAAAUGCUGACAAUAUGUUUUGGCGCAUAAUUAGCUCUGACAGGAAAAAUAUUGUAUCAGAAUUGCAGGAUUCUUCAAUCACCUCAUUAGCAUAUGCCAAAGCCUUGAGGUUACCACUACGAAUGAAGCAAAAUUGUGAAGAUGACUGGGAGAAUGAUUAGCUUAACUUGGCUAGCUUGCUUCAGGUGAAAGGCCGGAGAGGAUCUGGUCUGUGUUGGCCGCACCGAAGUGUGGGAAAAGCUGCGUGUAAGGUGGUGGAGAAGGAUGUCAACGAUGUGGACAUUGUCCCUCCGGUGAGGCUGGAAGCCGUCCAAGGGUGGAGGAGGUGCGCCUGUGUGACUCAGGUCAGCAGUGGGGCUUGCUUCCUCAUGGUUUGUUUAUUCGUUUUUUAUGCAGUACAUAUGCAACUUUGUGCUUGUUCAAUACUAUUGUCUAAAAAUACAGAAAUUUUUGGUGUCCAGUAAUGUGUUGCAAUUCUGUUAUCUUUCA